RNAcentral lists this long non-coding RNA (1552 nucleotides) under Aquilegia coerulea. RNAcentral's name for it is "long non-coding RNA (ACOE_LNC000344)". Lineage: Eukaryota; Viridiplantae; Streptophyta; Magnoliopsida; Ranunculales; Ranunculaceae. The record is from RNAcentral.
AAAGUGUACAACCCUGGUAUUUCAGGAGAUGCAAGGAUAAAGAUGCCACUGAGUCCAACUAUUGCCCGGUCCCAGCACAGACCAUUUAGCAUGGGACAUGGGUUGGGAGGCAGCAGCAUCCAGCUUAUGGAGUCUUCUUUAUACCCAUCAAGUGGAAAUGUCUCCCAUAGUUAUUCAUCAGGUAGCUUGGGACAGAUGAGGCUUCAAAGCAGGAGGUCACAAUCCAGAGAAGACCUUAAUUCUUCUAUGGCAGACUUGGCAAAGGUGUAGCGGGUAUCAUGGAGAAACUCAGGUACAAGAAUAUUUUUUCAUGUAGCCUUUUUAGCAGAGGUUUUUCCAUGCAGGCAAACUAAAUCCUCAUUCUUUUUUCUUUGGGUGUGUGUGUGUGUGUGUGCAUGUACCAUAGCUGCCCCUACAAUGGUGUGAUGUUUUGAUACACGUGUUGCACACAUUGGCCUUGUAUAUAACUAUAUAUAUAUAGGAAAAGUCGGUUUUAUCUUGCUUUCCUGAAUUGCUUUUCUACAAUUUCAGGGCACUUCCUUUAACAAGUUCUGAGCUUGAAGCAAUUAAGGAAUCUCCCAGAUAUAUACACUCAAAUGCUAGGCCAUUGGAUAAUUCCUUAAAUUAUCUUCAGCAUCAGGGAUGAUGCACCAAGUUUUGUUCUCAUUAUAACAUAGAUUCAUCACGAUUCCAAAAAGUUGAUUAUUCUUUUUGCUUCAUGAACUCUUCAACUAUACUUGUAAUAUGUUAAUCUCUAAUUGAAAUACCAUGGUAUCCACUCCAUCGGCCCGCGUCGCAGGAUCUUUUAUCAAGUAGAAGAGCAUCAGACCAAUGAAGGUGUGGUUUAAGUUCAGAAAUUAGCACAUGGAAAUGUUCCUGAGUCGGUGAGUGCUAAGCCAACUAACCUGCACCUGAGGUUCUGAUUGUUUCUAUAUUUUUCAAUCCUUUUGUGCAUUGGCAUUUCGCGACAUUAACUUUUCCUUCUUGAGCACUAUAAAAGAUGAUUAUAUCCUAUUCACCAGCGGAAACUGUUGUUCCUUUGCACCUUCUGCUAGUAUGUGCAUUCAAUCAGAAUGACUGUUGCAUAUCGAAGUGUUCACUGGUUGGCGAGUUAGCAGAACAGCAAAUUUAGAAUAAUUGUCACAUUCUUCAGGAAUAACUAACGGAAUCCGUUGCAAGAAAGUACGUCUGGAUCUUAUUGUAACUUGUAAGUGACAGUAUGUAUUUUUGCAAUUUCUGCAUAUUAUGAUGUUAGAUCUUUAUCUUUGUUUUAUAUUUAUUAUGUUAGAUCUUGCAUGCCCACAUCAGAAUGAUCAAUUUAGGGAAACAGAGGGGGAAUGGGAAAGGAAAACACUUUGUUUCUUUUGGUCAUGUUCCUAUUUAUCUAUGGGGAUUGCGGAUGUCACUUUAAACAAUGAAAUUUCUUGGAUUGAUCUCAUGGUAGAGAAAGUAUUGCUGAACAUCCUGAAUGUAUAUCUCGUGUUUUUGUUUUUGGUGGCAUUUCUAUUUCUCAUGCUAGUAAUUGUUAAAUGUUUUUGGGUAUAUCAGCCCG